GGGCCUUUAGCUCAGCCUGGUUAGAGCUGUCGGCUCAUAACCGAUUGGUCCGCGGUUCGAAUCCGUGAAGGCCCACCA
RNAcentral lists this transfer RNA (78 nucleotides) under Clostridiales bacterium. Its description in RNAcentral is "tRNA-Met". It matches the Rfam family "tRNA". From Rfam's summary of the family: Transfer RNA (tRNA) molecules are approximately 80 nucleotides in length. Lineage: Bacteria; Bacillati; Bacillota; Clostridia; Eubacteriales. RNAcentral also lists the same sequence under 1 other name. The record is from RNAcentral.